AUUAUAUAUUCAUGUAGUUAGACCGGGGAGUAAAGUACAGAAGAGUGAAUAAAUAAAAAUUGAUCUUCAUGAAAAGAUGUUUGACACAAAUAAGGGAAGAAAUUCCGGCAUGUUCUCACAAACAAAGAGUGUUGUCCAUGCGUUUCAAGUUGAAGAUACACCAUGGCAUGGUCCACAGCUCGGACCUUAUACUUACGUUAUUAUCUUUUGAAUACAGGUACACGUGGCGGUACAGACGGUUUUUUUCUGUCUGAAAAUUCUACAAUGGUAUUUUAAUAGCUGAUUUUGGUUUAGUAUUAUGUUCACGUUGGUUUUAAUUGAGACCAUCAGUUUUAUGAAUUUCGGGGGGUGCUUUUUAUGCCGAGUUUGGUUUGUAAUAAAAAUAGAUGGGUUGAAAUUUAG
Long non-coding RNA from Cotesia glomerata, 402 nucleotides. RefSeq lists it as uncharacterized. The record is from RefSeq and is a predicted model, not a curated record. NCBI's taxonomy places the organism in Eukaryota, Metazoa, Arthropoda, Insecta, Hymenoptera, Braconidae. The transcript is spliced from 3 exons.